GACGUAGGGCGCGAGCGUUGUCCGGAUUUAUUGGGCGUAAAGAGCUCGUAGGCGGCUUGUUGCGUCGACUGUGAAAACCCGCGGCUUAACUGCGGGCUUGCAGCUGAUACGGGCAGGCUAGAGUUCGGUAGGGGAGACUGGAAUUCCUGGUGUAGCGGUGAAAUGCGCAGAUAUCAGGAGGAACACCGGUGGCGAAGGCGGGUCUCUGGGCCGAUACUGACGCUGAGGAGCGAAAGCGUGGGGAGCGAACAGG
This 253-nucleotide ribosomal RNA is filed under the name uncultured bacterium. RNAcentral describes it as "partial 16S ribosomal RNA". It matches the Rfam family "Bacterial small subunit ribosomal RNA", at positions 524 to 776 of the family's 1533-position model. The record is from RNAcentral.